This 59-nucleotide ribosomal RNA is filed under the name uncultured fungus. RNAcentral describes it as "partial 28S ribosomal RNA". The record is from RNAcentral. Lineage: Eukaryota; Fungi.
GUGACCUCAAAUCAGGUAGGACUACCCGCUGAACUUUAAGCAUAUCAAUAAGCGGAGGA